GCCGCGGCCUCUGAGCUGGGAUGAGCCGUGCUCCCGGUGGAAGCAAGGGAGCCCAGCCGGAGCCAUGGCCAGUACAGUGGUAGCAGUUGGACUGACCAUUGCUGCUGCAGGAUUUGCAGGCCGUUACGUUUUGCAAGCCAUGAAGCAUAUGGAGCCUCAAGUAAAACAAGUUUUUCAAAGCCUACCAAAAUCUGCCUUCAGUGGUGGCUAUUAUAGAGGUGGGUUUGAACCCAAAAUGACAAAACGGGAAGCAGCAUUAAUACUAGGUGUAAGCCCUACUGCCAAUAAAGGGAAAAUAAGAGAUGCUCAUCGACGAAUUAUGCUUUUAAAUCAUCCUGACAAAGGUAAGAUCUCCUUAUAUAGCAGCCAAAAUCAAUGAAGCUAAAGAUUUACUAGAAGGUCAAGCUAAAAAAUGAAGUAAAUGUAUGAUGAAUUUUAAGUUCGUAUUAGUUUAUGUAUAUGAGUACUAAGUUUUUAUAAUAAAAUGCCUCAGAGCUACAAUUUUAAAAAAUGAUUUAGCACAAGCUAAAUCUCAAAGCCUUGGUAUAAUUUUCUUGUUUAAAUUUGGGGAUUUUAAAUCAGAUUAUAGUUUAGAAUAUUUGCGUAUUAAUUAUGGGCAAGCACACACCUUCUGAAUAGAAAUAUUGUUCAUUACUCAUUUAGCAGAUAAUUUGGGACCUAUGUCUACUUUUCAAGGCAAAGUGAAGAUGACAGUCCUUGCUCUCAGGGAGCCCCCACUUUAAUGGGAGACUGAUAAACUGGUAAUUAGACUGUGAUAAAUAGUAUGAUGGAAAUUAGCUUAAGCUGUUUAAGUAGGGACUCUUCUUAUUCGGUGGAAAGGCUGUUCCAGGUACAGGCAACUGGCCUGGCAACUUGGAUACUUGGAACCUUGUAUUUAAAAGUGAAUUUAACCACAACUGAGACCUAAGAAAUUGACCUAGGGGUGUGUGUGUGUGUGUAUUCUAUGUACAUAUAAACCAUUUUUAUUUCAUGCAUUAAAAAUAGUAUGAUAAAGAUUUCAGAGUACAGGUCUGGUACAAUCACAGUUCAUUGCAGCCUCAACCUCCUGGGUUUAAGCAGUCCUCCCGCCUCAGCCUCCCAAAGUACUGGGAUUACAGGCAUGAGUAUUUACAUUGUAUUCAGCUAGCCCCUUAAAGGUAAUGACCAUUUAUAAAUUAUUCCUUCAGUUGGCUAUUUCUUGACAUAAUCAAACUUCUGCAAUUGUUAUGAUUAAGCUUAAACCCUGUUAGCAAAACUGAAAACUGAAAUGUUCUCAAUAUCAACAUAUUUAAUUUGGACUCUUUAGAAUUUAUACACUAAUAAAUUUAAAUGAUGUUUAAA
Molecule: long non-coding RNA, 1341 nt
Filed under: Homo sapiens (human)
Lineage: Eukaryota; Metazoa; Chordata; Mammalia; Primates; Hominidae
Description: long non-coding RNA NONHSAT196621.1
Source: RNAcentral